Molecule: ribosomal RNA, 265 nt
Filed under: uncultured bacterium
Lineage: Bacteria
Description: partial 16S ribosomal RNA
Rfam family: Bacterial small subunit ribosomal RNA
Source: RNAcentral
CGACCGGCGCACGGGUGAGUAACGCGUAUGCAACCUGCCCGUUUCAGCGGGAUAACCCGGAGAAAUCCGGCCUAAUACCGCAUGUGGCCAGGGGAGGCAUCUUCUUUCGGCCAAAGGAGGCGACUCCGGAGACGGAUGGGCAUGCGUGACAUUAGCUAGUUGGCGGGGUAACGGCCCACCAAGGCGACGAUGUCUAGGGGUUCUGAGAGGAAGGUCCCCCACACUGGUACUGAGACACGGUCCAAACUCCUACGGAAGGCAGCAG